This 28-nucleotide non-coding RNA is filed under the name Mus musculus (house mouse). Lineage: Eukaryota; Metazoa; Chordata; Mammalia; Rodentia; Muridae. The record is from RNAcentral.
UNGCAGGCAAGAGACAGUUUUGCAACGA